AGUGAACGCUGGCGGUAGGCCUAACACAUGCAAGCCGAACGGCAGCACAGGAGAGCUUGCUCUCUGGGUGGCGAGUGGCGGACGGGUGAGGAAUACAUCGGAAUCUACUCUGUCGUGGGGGAUAACGGAGGGAAACUUACGCUAAUACCGCAUACGACCUACGGGUGAAAGCAGGGGAUCUUCGGACCUUGCGCGAUUGAAUGAGCCGAUGUCGGAUUAGCUAGUUGGCGGGGUAAAGGCCCACCAAGGCGACGGUCCGUAGCUGGUCUGAGAGGAUGAUCAGCCACACUGGAACUGAGACACGGUCCAGACUCCUACGGGAGGCAGCAGUGGGGAAUAUUGGACAAUGGGCGCAAGCCUGAUCCAGCCAUACCGCGUGGGUGAAGAAGGCCUUCGGGUUGUAAAGCCCUUUGUUGGGAAAGAAAUCCAGCUGGCUAAUACCCGGUUGGGAUGACGGUACCCAAAGAAUAAGCACCGGCUAACUUCGUGCCAGCAGCCGCCGUAA
Molecule: ribosomal RNA, 505 nt
Filed under: uncultured bacterium
Lineage: Bacteria
Description: partial 16S ribosomal RNA
Rfam family: Bacterial small subunit ribosomal RNA
Source: RNAcentral